CGGCCUAGCGCCGCCCGCGGCCCGGAUCCAGGCGGCCGCCGGAGACCACCAAAACUAUUUUGUAUCAGCAGUUUUUUCUGAAUCCGCCGCAAGGCAAAACAAAUGAAUCAAAACUUUCAACAACGGAUCUCUUGGUUCUGGCAUCGAUGAAGAACGCAGCGAAAUGCGAUAAGUAAUGUGAAUUGCAGAAUUCAGUGAAUCAUCGAAUCUUUGAACGCACAUUGCGCCCGCCAGCAUUCUGGCGGGCAUGCCUGUUCGAGCGUCAUUUCAACCCUCGACUUCCCUUUGGGGAAAUCGGCGUUGGGGACUGGCAGCAUACCGCCGGCCCCGAAAUGGAGUGGCGGCCCGUCCGCGGCGACCUCUGCGUAGUAAUCCAACCUCGCACCGGAACCCCGACGUGGCCACGCCGUAAAACACCCCACUUUCUGAACGUUGACCUCGGAUCAGGUAGGAAUACCCGCUGAACUUAAGCAUAUCAAUA
RNAcentral lists this ribosomal RNA (481 nucleotides) under fungal sp. BLH105. Its description in RNAcentral is "eukaryotic LSU rRNA". The stretch from base 112 to 265 matches the Rfam family "5.8S ribosomal RNA". The record is from RNAcentral. Lineage: Eukaryota; Fungi.